AUGCCAUCUAAGUAUGGACUCCUUUGCAGGAAGGAACUGUCAAAGCAGCAAAAUCAAGCUGUUUCUCUCUGCCCAGGGAAGUUUAUAGAUAGAAACAAGCUGAAAAAUAGGUUCAGAGAAGAGAAAUCACUGUCUCCGGGGCACACAACUGUCAAGUGUGGGAGCAAAGACAUGAACCUAGAGUAGAUGCCCUGACUCCAAGGCCAGUGUUCUCUGAUACACAACAUACCUUUAUUCAUAAGCAGUUGUCCUCGGGUUGGGGAUGGAGGCCAGCAUCCGGGGCAUCUGAGUGAGUAAAGCUAACUGGCCCAAACAGCCAGCUUCCCGG
Molecule: long non-coding RNA, 328 nt
Filed under: Monodelphis domestica (gray short-tailed opossum)
Lineage: Eukaryota; Metazoa; Chordata; Mammalia; Didelphimorphia; Didelphidae
Description: lncRNA (ENSMODG00000041815.1)
Source: RNAcentral